Long non-coding RNA from Arabidopsis lyrata subsp. lyrata, 456 nucleotides. RefSeq lists it as uncharacterized. The record is from RefSeq and is a predicted model, not a curated record. NCBI's taxonomy places the organism in Eukaryota, Viridiplantae, Streptophyta, Magnoliopsida, Brassicales, Brassicaceae. The transcript has 3 exons.
UAACGAAUCUGAUGAUGGAGAACAUGAGAAGCAACAAGGGCUAAAGCAAGAACGUGAGAGUUUGGAGAAGAAAAGAUGAAGAAGGGUUGAGAGGAAGAACAAGCAGAAUUAGUUGACGAUUUGAGUGUAGUAAAACAAAGAAAUCAGAGUUAUCCUUGCUCGAGUAUGAUUAUGUUCCCAAGCUGGUUGUAUUCGUGGAUUCGAAUCUGCCAUGUCUAGCACGCCAAGUGUUCGACGAUAUUCCACACUUGAAUGUUGUCUCUGCUACAUCAGAAAUAUAAACGCAAUUUUGUAUCACAGAUGGAUACUCAACAUUGUUGAAAGUUUUCAUCUCUUGUUCUUGAGGAGGAUGAAGAAGUAUGGAUUACAAAUUCUUUUGGUCAAGGCUAGUUUAAUUCCCAUUUCCAAACUAAUUCAGGCUAUCCACAAGCUUUCCUUUCGGCAUCAAGACUUCAA